RNAcentral lists this ribosomal RNA (778 nucleotides) under uncultured Neocallimastigales. Its description in RNAcentral is "partial large subunit ribosomal RNA". It matches the Rfam family "Eukaryotic large subunit ribosomal RNA", at positions 23 to 620 of the family's 3401-position model. The record is from RNAcentral. Lineage: Eukaryota; Fungi; Neocallimastigomycota; Neocallimastigomycetes; Neocallimastigales.
AGAGAGAGACAUGCGCGCAUAUCAAUAAGCGGAGGAAAAGAAACUAACGAGGGAUUCCCUUAGUAACGGCGAGUGAAGCGGGAAGAGCUCAAAUUUGAAAUCUUCAAGGUUUUACCUUGACGAAUUGUAGUUUAAAGAAGUGUUUUCUGCUGAAGUUUUGGUAAAAGUUCUUUGGAAUAGGACAUCAUAGAGGGUGAGAAUCCCGUAUUUGACCAUUAUUUUCAGCUUUGUGAUACACUUUCAAAGAGUCGGAUUGUUUGGGAAUGCAGUCCAAAAUGGGUGGUAAAUUUCAUCUAAAGCCUAAAUAUUGGCGAGAGACCGAUAGCGAACAAGUACCGUGAGGGAAAGAUGAAAAGAACUUUGAAAAGAGAGUUAAACAGUACGUGAAAUUGUCAAAAGGGAAGCGUUUGACACCAGUGUUGUUUUCUCGAAAAUCAAUUAAAAAUGGCUCGAUUUUGUAUUGUUGAGACCUUAAAAGCUCACCUGUACAUUUUUCGUGUCUUUUUUAACUGCACUUUUCGUUUAACAAGUCAACAUCAGUUUCUUUUGUUGUAAAAGGGUCAUUGGAAGGUGGCUUUCUUUUCGGAGAAAGUGUUUAUAGCCUUUGGCCUCUGCAAUCGGAGAGACUGAGGUCUGCAGCGUAGACUCUUCGGGGUUAGAUACAUUUGUGCUAAGUUAUAGCUUUUUAUAGACAACUUGUUGACUAUAAUUAGUCUUGUAGCUUACUCGCUUAUGCUAUUUUACCUACGCUUAGGAUGUUGAAGAUGUAGCACAUCAU